This 286-nucleotide long non-coding RNA is filed under the name Nicotiana benthamiana. RNAcentral describes it as "long non-coding RNA (NBEN_LNC023956)". Lineage: Eukaryota; Viridiplantae; Streptophyta; Magnoliopsida; Solanales; Solanaceae. The record is from RNAcentral.
AAUAUAUAUAUAUAUGGUUAAUAAUAUAUUUAGAAGAAGAAGAAAAAGGACCUAUGAUGAAAGGGAAGGAUAUCCAACCGCCAUUGUUAUUGCUGCGUGCUGCAGGAGAAGACUGCACCUUUGUUGCAGCUUCAUCUACACACUGGACAGCUGGUUUCUCCAUUGCUGCAUUAACUCUACUGUUUAUCCUGAUCUCUUUUAGUUUCUCUAGGACUGAUUACUUCUUUGUUUUUAUUCUUUUCGGUUUGUUUGUGGGUUCAACUUAUGAUGUCAAACUUAUAUGGAG